GAGUGCGUAAUAGCUCACUAGUCGAGUGACCCUGCGCCGAAAAUGUACCGGGGCUAAACAUAUUACCGAAGCUGUGGAGUACACCUUUAGGUGUAUUGGUAGGAGAGCGUUCUAAGGGCGUUGAAGGCAGAUCGUGAGGACUGCUGGAGCGCUUAGAAGUGAGAAUGCCGGUAUGAGUAGCGAAAGACAGGUGAGAAUCCUGUCCACCGAAUGACUAAGGUUUCCUGGGGAAGGCUCGUCCGCCCAGGGUUAGUC
This 255-nucleotide ribosomal RNA is filed under the name Enterococcus hirae. RNAcentral describes it as "partial 23S ribosomal RNA". It matches the Rfam family "Bacterial large subunit ribosomal RNA", at positions 1128 to 1385 of the family's 2925-position model. The record is from RNAcentral. Lineage: Bacteria; Bacillati; Bacillota; Bacilli; Lactobacillales; Enterococcaceae.